AACGAACGCUGGCGGCAGGCCUAACACAUGCAAGUCGAACGUGAAGCUUCUUUCGGGAAGUGGAAAGUGGCGCACGGGUGAGUAACGCGUGGGAAUCUACCCUGGUGUGGGGGAUAACCGCUGGAAACGGCGGCUAAUACCGCAUACGCCCAGUUCUGGAGACAGGGUUGGGAAAGCUUUAUGCGCACUGGGAUGAGCCCGCGUUAGAUUAGGUAGUUGGUGGGGUAACGGCCUACCAAGCCUGCGAUCUAUAGCUGGUCUGAGAGGAUGAUCAGCCACACUGGGACUGAGACACGGCCCAGACUCCUACGGGAGGCAGCAGUGGGAAUAUUGGACAAUGGGGGCAACCUGAUCCAGCCAUGCCGCGUGCGUGAAGAAGGCCUUAGGGUUGUAAAGCGCUUUCACUGGUGAAGAUGAUGACGGUAGCCAGAGAAGAA
RNAcentral lists this ribosomal RNA (437 nucleotides) under uncultured bacterium. RNAcentral describes it as "bacterial SSU rRNA". It matches the Rfam family "Bacterial small subunit ribosomal RNA", at positions 29 to 489 of the family's 1533-position model. The record is from RNAcentral.